GCGCACCAGGCGAGAAACCUCCGCAAUACACGAAAGUGUGACGGGGCCAUCCCGAGUGCCGUCCGCUGAGGACGGCUUUUCCCCAGUGUACACAGCUGGGGGAAUAAGGAGAGGGCAAGCCUGGUGUCAGCCGCCGCGGUAAUACCAGCUCUCCGAGUGGUGGGGACGCUUAUUGGGCCUAAAGCAUCCGUAGCCGGCUGGGCAAGUCCUCCGUUAAAUCCAACGAUUCAAUCGUUGGGCUGCGGGGGAUACUGUCCAGCUUGGGGGCGGGAGAGGCCGACGGUAUUCCCGGGGUAGGGGUGAAAUCCUAUAAUCCCGGGAGGACCACCAGUGGCGAAGGCUGUCGGCUAGAACGCGCCCGACGGUGAGGGAUGGGAAGCUGGGGGGAGCGAACCGGAUUAGAUA
RNAcentral lists this ribosomal RNA (405 nucleotides) under uncultured microorganism. RNAcentral's name for it is "bacterial SSU rRNA". It matches the Rfam family "Archaeal small subunit ribosomal RNA", at positions 330 to 735 of the family's 1478-position model. The record is from RNAcentral.